Molecule: unclassified non-coding RNA, 390 nt
Filed under: soil metagenome
Description: partial contains 5.8S ribosomal RNA, internal transcribed spacer 2, and large subunit ribosomal RNA
Rfam family: 5.8S ribosomal RNA (bases 1-122)
Source: RNAcentral
GAUGAAGAACGUAGCGAAAUGCGAUACUUGGUGUGAAUUGCAGAAUCCCGUGAACCAUCGAGUCUUUGAACGCAAGUUGCGCCCGAAGCCAUUAGGCCGAGGGCACGCCUGCCUGGGCGUCACACGUCGUUGCCCCCCCAUCUACUCCUUCGGGAUUGCGGGGGGCGGAUGAUGGCCUCCCGUGCGCCUCGUCGCGCGGUUGGCAUAAAUACCAAGUCCUCGGCGACGCACGCCACGACAAUCGGUGGUUGCGAAACCUCGGUUGCCCGUCGUGUGCGUUCGUCGCGCAUCGAGGGCUCGAAAAAAUGCUCGGCUCCGGCUGGGCUUUCAACGCGACCCCAGGUCAGGCGGGGUUACCCGCUGAAUUUAAGCAUAUCAAUAAGCGGAGGA